GCGCCUCAACUUAAGUUCUGAUCAGCUCGCUAAUUGAUGUUCUCACGUCCUACACCGCCCAGAAGAUGGGGGGCUACCGCCCAAUUCAUCACCGCUCACACGCUCGAGAGGUCGGCAGGCAGAUUUGAACCCGGACACUCCGGGAACAGAAGUCAGGCCUUAAUCUCUGUACAUCACAAGCAAACAACAACUGUCGGUCUGUCACUCAUAACCGAAACCAUUCAUCCCCCAAAUGGGCCUCCUCUGCUAUCUCACACUUCAUUGGUCGCAUAGGGAAGUGAGCGUUUUGCGUGCGUUCGGUGCUUGUGGUCCUUGCUCCCUGUCCCGGCCUGUCUUCCUCACCGUAUCUGGCCAACUGUGGUCCUAGCUUCCUUUCCCCCUCGCCGUGUUUUUUCCUUGUCUCCGCCUUCUGUCUUUUUCCAGUCCUGAUGAGGUUGCAGUUUGCAACUUGUCGCUGCUUUUUUCCUUCUUUUGGAUAGAGUCCCUGUUCAUGUUUGGGUUCUACGUUUUGUCCAUCAUCUUUGAUUGGUUACAGUAGCUUUUUGCGGCGUUCCUCGAUUAGAGCUUGUUUGCCGUUUCCUUGGUUACGCUCGGUCCUUUUGCUACAGAACUACAGGUACGGCAUCUGUAUUCAAGCGAGACGGCCUUUCUGUGGCGGACUCUAUGAACAGCACAUGGCACACUAUCAUACAGAUACAAAAUUCUUGAAUAAAGCAGAUAUCCCUG
This 726-nucleotide long non-coding RNA is filed under the name Volvox carteri. RNAcentral describes it as "long non-coding RNA (VCAR_LNC001520)". The record is from RNAcentral. Lineage: Eukaryota; Viridiplantae; Chlorophyta; Chlorophyceae; Chlamydomonadales; Volvocaceae.